RNAcentral lists this ribosomal RNA (253 nucleotides) under uncultured bacterium. RNAcentral's name for it is "partial 16S ribosomal RNA". It matches the Rfam family "Bacterial small subunit ribosomal RNA", at positions 524 to 776 of the family's 1533-position model. The record is from RNAcentral.
UACGUAGGGUGCAAGCGUUGUUCGGAAUCACUGGGCGUAAAGCGCGUGUAGGCGGCGAGCUCAGUCUAGUGUGAAAGCCCGGGGCUUAACCCCGGAAGUGCACUAGAUACUAGCUUGCUAGAGGACGGGAGAGGAUGGUGGAAUUCCUGGUGUAGGGGUGAAAUCCGUAGAUAUCAGGAGGAACAUCGGUGGCGAAGGCGGCCAUCUGGCCCGUUUCUGACGCUAAGACGCAAAAGCGCGGGUAGCAAACAGG